GAGAGGAUGACCAGCCACACUGGAACUGAGACACGGUCCAGACUCCUACGGGAGGCAGCAGUGGGGAAUAUUGCACAAUGGGCGCAAGCCUGAUGCAGCCAUGCCGCGUGUGUGAAGAAGGCCUUCGGGUUGUAAAGCACUUUCAGCGAGGAGGAAGGUGGUGAACUUAAUACGUUCAUCAAUUGACGUUACUCGCAGAAGAAGCACCGGCUAACUCCGUGCCAGCAGCCGCGGUAAUACGGAGGGUGCAAGCGUUAAUCGGAAUUACUGGGCGUAAAGCGCACGCAGGCGGUUUGUUAAGUCAGAUGUGAAAUCCCCGGGCUCAACCUGGGAACUGCAUUUGAAACUGGCAAG
Molecule: ribosomal RNA, 354 nt
Filed under: bacterium LimA-100-J-198
Lineage: Bacteria
Description: bacterial SSU rRNA
Rfam family: Bacterial small subunit ribosomal RNA
Source: RNAcentral